Molecule: non-coding RNA, 1368 nt
Organism: Myodes glareolus (Bank vole)
Lineage: Eukaryota; Metazoa; Chordata; Mammalia; Rodentia; Cricetidae
Source: RefSeq, a predicted model, not a curated record
AGAGACAGAGACAGACAGAGAGAGAGAGAGAGAGAGAGAGAGAGAGAGAGAGAGAGAGAGAAACGUUCUUUUUGACCCCCUUUGCAUCUUGGUUUCUUCGUAAGCUUCUGAGCAUCCCAAACUAGCUAAGACCACCGCUUGCCUAGACUCCUUGCAGAGUCUGAGGAAAUUUGGCCUCGUUUUCCUAGGACUGGGGAAUGAGCUCCGGAGGUCAAUAAAGCCCUCCAAAAAUGAUGAAUGAUUGAGCACCUGUGAUGAUGAUAGUGAUUACCAGAGCAAUUAAACAGUUUGAUUAAAUGAGCCAUCAUAACAAUGAUGUCUGCGGGAAAUCGGCCCUCACAUAUAAAGACUGUGUGGAGGGGCUGGCAGAGGCGCGGAGAGCGCGCCGGGAGAGGGGCCUCGGCCCGCGCGGGGUUGACUCCGGUGGCCAAAGCAGGGACGGCGGACUCUGGGAGCAGACUCAAGCCUAGGCUUUCCGUCUCGGUUCCUCCCUGGCUUCAAGCCUAAGACGUCCGACCUUUCUGAAACCUGAAGGACCACAGGGUCCUUUCCCCCGCCCCCCCGUUUUUUUCUCCCUAGAAGAACUCCAAGAUUACAAAUAUCCACUUCAUUUGUCGCUGUUACUCGUCGACACAUAAGAAAAGGUCUGUUUGGACAUUCAAAGAAGCUACACAUACAAAGAUGGUUUGGCUCGGUGCCGUCAAUCCCAGCAUUAAAAAAGGUAAAAAAAAAAAAAAAAUCUGAGCGUCCCUAUACUCAUCCUUGCCUCGAAUAAAUAAUUAAGUAAGUAAAUAAACAAAGUGCGAGGCAAAAGAAAGUUUACUGCUUGCAUCUGUUGGUCGUCGUGCGCGCGUGUAUAAACAUCUUGGAGUCAGUGUUUGUACGUUAAUCUCCUCCCCACCCCCCCUCCCGGCAAGGGCGUGGAGAGAUCGCCCCCAGAGAGCCGUGUUUACUCGUUGUUUUUUUUUUUUUUUUAAAUCUCUGGGCUGUGUAUGACAAGUGUUACUUGAAGAAAUUCAUCGGCCUUCUCGAGAUGCUUCCAGGUUUGCUGUAAUGAUCUGCAGAAGAGAACCGCCACCACUUUCCCACAUCCCAAGGUGUUGGCGGAACUAGAGCGAGGGGGAGAGUGACUGCCAGGCUUAAUUGCGGAGGGGAGGGCGGGGUGCCUCCCGGGAUCCGAACCCGGGCGGGGGUUGGGGAGGUAAGAUGCAACCCAGGAAGGGUCUUUCUGAACGCUGAAGUCGCCAGUUGGAGAAUAUUUGGACAAGGUAUGAUUGCCUUAUUCCCCCCCCCAUCUCAAUGCCUUUGGGGAGAAGUGAUACCCUUGUGUAACAAUUAGCUCAGACAAUAAAAAUAAUUGGAAAAUCA